Molecule: transfer RNA, 78 nt
Filed under: Verrucomicrobia bacterium CG1_02_43_26
Lineage: Bacteria; Pseudomonadati; Verrucomicrobiota
Also listed under: 4 other names
Description: tRNA-Glu
Rfam family: tRNA
About the family: Transfer RNA (tRNA) molecules are approximately 80 nucleotides in length. Their secondary structure includes four short double-helical elements and three loops (D, anti-codon, and T loops).
Source: RNAcentral
GUCCCGUUCGUCUAGCCAGGUCCAGGACACUGGAUUUUCAUUCCAGCGACAGGGGUUCGAAUCCCCUACGGGACGCCA